Molecule: long non-coding RNA, 669 nt
Organism: Dama dama (fallow deer)
Lineage: Eukaryota; Metazoa; Chordata; Mammalia; Artiodactyla; Cervidae
Exons: 3
Source: RefSeq, a predicted model, not a curated record
CCAGACUGGGGUGACUCGGGGUGCUGCAGUGUUAGAUGGGGGCUCCCGAUAGGGGCCACCUGGCAGCUGUGGCUCAAAGAAUAGCCCCCAAGUAAAAUGUGGCGCUGAAACAUACCUUCCUUCGGCAAAUUUGAAGAAGCAGAUGCCUCGUCUGGCCUGGAGGCAGGAGUCGGUCUGGCUUUCUUCAGUUUCUUCGCUUGGGGUGGAAGAGAAGACUGGUGUUUGGGGGCCAUGCUGGGGGAAAAAAGCCAAGAACCCUCACAGGAGAAGAAAGAGGAACUGCGAGCUCAGAGAACUGAAGCAGUCCCAGGGAACCGAAAGGGGUGACCCAUACAGUGGAGUGAGCUGCAACUGUGGAAUCAAACGGGGAAUCAGAGCCAGGUGGUGAAGUGAAAUAAGCAAAGUCCUACCAAGUAGGUAGUAUGUUACCAUUUGCGUAAAAGGGAGGGUAGGAAAAAAAUACACAUUCACUUAUUUGCCUGUAUACCUGUAAUAGCUCUUAAAGGACUCCUGUGACCCUGAUAACUCGGUCAACCCUGGGGAGGGAACUGGGUGGUGAGAAAUGAAAGGACAGGGAUACAGGGAGAUGUUUCACUCUUCACCCUGUUGUACAUUUUGAACCUUCUAUAUCUAUGUUGUUUAGUCACUAAGUCGUGUCUGACUCUUUUG